GAUGAACGCUGGCUACAGGCUUAACACAUGCAAGUCGAGGGGAAACGACGGGGAAGCUUGCUUCCCCGGGCGUCGACCGGCGCACGGGUGAGUAACGCGUAUCCAACCUGCCUCUGACUGAGGGAUAACCCGUCGAAAGUCGGCCUAAUACCUCAUGGCAUCGUCUGCGGGCAUCCAACGACGAUUAAAGAUUUCAUCGGUCAGGGAUGGGGAUGCGUCUGAUUAGCUGGUUGGCGGGGUAACGGCCCUCCAAGGCUACGAUCAGUAGGGGUUCUGAGAGGAAGGUCCCCCACAUUGGAACUGAGACACGGUCCAAACUCCUACGGGAGGCAGCAGUGAGGAAUAUUGGUCAAUGGGCGAGAGCCUGAACCAGCCAAGUAGCGUGCAGGAUGACGGCCCUAUGGGUUGUAAACUGCUUUUAUGCGGGGAUAAAGUGAGGGACGUGUCCUUCAUUGCAGGUACC
RNAcentral lists this ribosomal RNA (463 nucleotides) under Segatella oris. RNAcentral's name for it is "bacterial SSU rRNA". It matches the Rfam family "Bacterial small subunit ribosomal RNA", at positions 28 to 479 of the family's 1533-position model. The record is from RNAcentral. Lineage: Bacteria; Pseudomonadati; Bacteroidota; Bacteroidia; Bacteroidales; Prevotellaceae.